Molecule: ribosomal RNA, 567 nt
Filed under: uncultured Glomeromycotina
Lineage: Eukaryota; Fungi; Glomeromycota
Description: SSU rRNA
Rfam family: Eukaryotic small subunit ribosomal RNA
Source: RNAcentral
UUGGAGGGCAAGUCUGGUGCCAGCAGCCGCGGUAAUUCCAGCUCCAAUAGCGUAUAUUAAAGUUGUUGCAGUUAAAAAGCUCGUAGUUGAACCUCGGGGUCUACCCAUUGGUCAGGCUUAAUUGUCUGCACUGGUGAGAUGGAUCUCUACCUUCUGAGGAACUUUCAUGCCAUUUAUUUGGUGUGAUGGGAAAUCAGGACUGUUACUUUGAAAAAAUUAGAGUGUUUAAAGCAGACUAUCGUCUGAAUACAUUAGCAUGGAAUAAUGAAAUAGGACGGACUGAUUCUAUUUCGUUGGUUUCUAGGAUCACCGUAAUGAUUAAUAGGGAUAGUUGGGGGCAUUAGUAUUCAAUUGUCAGAGGUGAAGUUCUUGGAUUUAUUGAAGACUAACUACUGCGAAAGCAUUUGCCAAGGAUGUUUUCAUUAAUCAAGAACGAAAGUUAGGGGAUCGAAGACGAUCAGAUACCGUCGUAGUCUUAACCAUAAACUAUGCCGACUAGGGAUCGGACGAAGUUAAUUUUAUAAUGACGCGUUCGGCACCUUACGGGAAACCAAAGUGUUUGGGUUC